GAUGAAGAACGUAGCGAAAUGCGAUAAGUAAUGUGAAUUGCAGAAUUCAGUGAAUCAUCGAAUCUUUGAACGCACAUUGCGCCCGCCAGUAUUCUGGCGGGCAUGCCUGUUCGAGCGUCAUUUCAACCCUCAAGCCCCCGGGCUUGGUGUUGGGGAUCGGCGUGCCCUCGCGGCGCGCCGUCCCCUAAAUCUAGUGGCGGUCUCGCUGUAGCUUCCUCUGCGUAGUAGCAACACUCGCACUGGAUCGCAGCGCGGCCACGCCGUUAACCCCCCCACUUCUGAAAGUUUGACCUCGGAUCAGGUAGGAAUACCCGCUGAACUUAAGCAUAUCAAUAAGCGGAGGA
This 344-nucleotide unclassified non-coding RNA is filed under the name soil metagenome. RNAcentral's name for it is "partial contains 5.8S ribosomal RNA, internal transcribed spacer 2, and large subunit ribosomal RNA". The stretch from base 1 to 120 matches the Rfam family "5.8S ribosomal RNA", at positions 35 to 154 of the family's 154-position model. The record is from RNAcentral.